GACGAACGCUGGCGGCGUGCUUAACACAUGCAAGUCGAACGGAAAGGCCCUGCUUUUGUGGGGUGCUCGAGUGGCGAACGGGUGAGUAACACGUGAGUAACCUGCCCUUGACUUUGGGAUAACUUCGGGAAACUGGGGCUAAUACCGGAUAGGAGCUCCUGCUGCAUGGUGGGGGUUGGAAAGUUUCGGCGGUUGGGGAUGGACUCGCGGCUUAUCAGCUUGUUGGUGGGGUAGUGGCUUACCAAGGCUUUGACGGGUAGCCGGCCUGAGAGGGUGACCGGCCAAAUUGGGACUGAGAUAGGGCCCAGACUCCUACGGGGGGCAGCAGUGGGGAAUAUUGCACAAUGGGCGGAAGCCUGAUGCAGCAACGCCGCGUGCGGGAUGACGGCCUUCGGGUUGUAAACCGCUUUCGCAUGUGACGAAGCGUGAGUGACGGUAAUGGGUAAAGAAGCACCGGCUAACUACGUG
Molecule: ribosomal RNA, 468 nt
Filed under: uncultured bacterium
Lineage: Bacteria
Description: partial 16S ribosomal RNA
Rfam family: Bacterial small subunit ribosomal RNA
Source: RNAcentral